This 30-nucleotide non-coding RNA is filed under the name Mus musculus (house mouse). Lineage: Eukaryota; Metazoa; Chordata; Mammalia; Rodentia; Muridae. The record is from RNAcentral.
UGGGCUCAGUUGAGAGUGACAUCAGGAAAU